RNAcentral lists this ribosomal RNA (1464 nucleotides) under Triticum aestivum (bread wheat). Its description in RNAcentral is "partial small subunit ribosomal RNA". The record is from RNAcentral. Lineage: Eukaryota; Viridiplantae; Streptophyta; Magnoliopsida; Poales; Poaceae.
AUGGAGGAUCUCCCAGAGCCACUGCUUGCAGAGAUCGUCAAGAGGAUUACCAAGACAAGUGAUCUUAAUUCUCUUUCCCUCGUGUCGAAGCAGCUCUGCACCGUUGAGGCGGAGCACAGGGAUGCUAUCCGUGUUGGCUGUGGACUCAACCCUUCUACAGAAGCCUUGGUAUCGUUGUUCUCCCGGUUCCCCAAUUUGGCGAAAGUAGAGAUAAACUAUUCCGGAUGGUGGCCCAGUAACGGGAACCAGUUGAACAACCAAGGCCUCUGUGUUCUAUCAUCUCACUGCCCCUCACUGUCCGAUCUUUCUUUAAGCUUCUGCUCUUACAUUGGUGACUCUGGUCUUGGUUAUCUAGCUGAUUGCAAAAAAUUGAGUUCGCUCAGGCUGAACUGUGCACCAGCAGUAACUUCUACUGGGAUUUUUCGUGUGGCGGUUGGUUGCAGGCAUCUUUCGGUUCUUCACCUUGUUGACUGUAUGGCAGUAGACAGCAGGGAGUGGCUGGAGUACCUUGGGAGAUAUGGAUCAUUGGUAGAACUUGUUGUAAAGGAUUGCGAUGGAAUCAGCCAGUAUGACCUCUUAAAGUUUGGCCCAGGCUGGGAGAAUCUCCAAAAAUUUGUGUUUGAGAUUAAUGGAAACUACUGGAUGUCAGGGGCGUCUGACCCCUCCUACGUGUCUGGCUACCCAUAUAGGUAUGACAUCUGCUGUGAUAGCUUGAAGGAUCUUAGGUUAGCUCAUAUUAUAACCAAGCCAGAAACUGGACUUCGUUUUCUCCUGGGGAAGUGCAAAGCAUUGGAGACGCUUUACCUAGAGUAUGUGAUUGGUCUAAAAGAGAAUGAGAUGAUUGCGCUAUUCCAGAGGUGCAGCAACCUUAAAACCAUCUCACUUCGGUUCAUGCCUCUGCGGUGUGAAGAUUAUGAGUUUAGGACGCCAUUGACUGAUGUUAGCCUUAAGGCUCUAGCUCUCAGCUGCCCUAUGCUUCAGGUUGUAGAGCUCACAUUCACAUUUUGCGAACCCAUGUAUCCAACAGAAAUAGGUUUCACACAAGAGGGUAUUGUGUCGCUCGUCCAAUCUUGUCCAGUCCGCACUCUUUUGCUAAAUGGUGCCAGCAUUUUGUAUGACGAGGGGUUGAAGUGCCUCUCAUCCUCACAGUUCCUGGAGAAGCUUGAGCUCGUGGAUUGCAGGUCUAUAACCGAUGCUGGUAUGAGUUUCAUUAUACUGGCUCCUUGCUUCAGCAAUCUCACCCUCCGCAAAUGCAAGAAAGUGACAGACAAUGGGAUGGCUGAGCUGGCACGUUCACAGAAGUUGGAGUCACUGACCGUUAUAGGCUGCUGCCAGAUCUCUCAGGAGGGUGUGCAAGGGGCUGCCAAAUCAGUUCACUACUCUGCAGAGACUGAAAGCCACGGCAGUCUAAAAGGAAUGAACACGGACAGGGACAUGAACAGGAAAAGACGCCGGUCGCCCUGA